AUGAACGCUGGCGGCGCGCCUAACACAUGCAAGUCGAACGAUUAAAGCACCUUCGGGUGUGUAUAAAGUGGCGAACGGCUGAGUAACACGUGGGCAACCUGCCCCUUUCAUUGGGAUAGCCACGGGAAACCGUGGAUAAUACCGAAUACUUCGAGACUUCCGCAUGGAAGACUCGAGAAAGCUCCGGCGGAGGGGAUGGGCCCGCGGCCUGUUAGCUUGUUGGUGGGGUAACGGCCUACCAAGGCAAUGAUGGGUAGCUGGGUUGAGAGACCGACCAGCCAGAUUGGGACUGAGACACGGCCCAGACUCCUACGGGAGGCAGCAGUGGGGAAUCUUGCACAAUGGGCGAAAGCCUGAUGCAGCGACGCCGCGUGCGGGAUGAAGGCCUUCGGGUUGUAAACCGCUUUCAGCAGGGACGAGGCGAAAGUGACGGUACCUGCAGAAGAAGCCCCGGCUAACUACGUG
This 465-nucleotide ribosomal RNA is filed under the name uncultured bacterium. RNAcentral's name for it is "partial 16S ribosomal RNA". It matches the Rfam family "Bacterial small subunit ribosomal RNA", at positions 29 to 507 of the family's 1533-position model. The record is from RNAcentral.